AAAAAACAAAAAUGGAUAACUGAAAAAGAAAAAUAUCAAUGAUGAACACAAUAAAGCAGUGACUACUUAAGCAUAGAAACACAAAAUCAUGAAACUCAUGCCUCUGAUCAUUUUUCUUCUCUGCAAAAAACGGGUGCAGAACACAAAGAUAAAGCUAACACAUGAAGUUCCGAAAGGGAAAGCAACGGUGACAGAGAACUAGCCAAU
RNAcentral lists this long non-coding RNA (207 nucleotides) under Vigna radiata. Its description in RNAcentral is "long non-coding RNA (VRAD_LNC008608)". The record is from RNAcentral. Lineage: Eukaryota; Viridiplantae; Streptophyta; Magnoliopsida; Fabales; Fabaceae.